RNAcentral lists this ribosomal RNA (2921 nucleotides) under Staphylococcus aureus. RNAcentral describes it as "23S ribosomal RNA". It matches the Rfam family "Bacterial large subunit ribosomal RNA". Lineage: Bacteria; Bacillati; Bacillota; Bacilli; Caryophanales; Staphylococcaceae. The record is from RNAcentral.
UUAAGUUAUAAAGGGCGCACGGUGGAUGCCUUGGCACUAGAAGCCGAUGAAGGACGUUACUAACGACGAUAUGCUUUGGGGAGCUGUAAGUAAGCUUUGAUCCAGAGAUUUCCGAAUGGGGAAACCCAGCAUGAGUUAUGUCAUGUUAUCGAUAUGUGAAUACAUAGCAUAUCAGAAGGCACACCCGGAGAACUGAAACAUCUUAGUACCCGGAGGAAGAGAAAGAAAAUUCGAUUCCCUUAGUAGCGGCGAGCGAAACGGGAAGAGCCCAAACCAACAAGCUUGCUUGUUGGGGUUGUAGGACACUCUAUACGGAGUUACAAAGGACGACAUUAGACGAAUCAUCUGGAAAGAUGAAUCAAAGAAGGUAAUAAUCCUGUAGUCGAAAAUGUUGUCUCUCUUGAGUGGAUCCUGAGUACGACGGAGCACGUGAAAUUCCGUCGGAAUCUGGGAGGACCAUCUCCUAAGGCUAAAUACUCUCUAGUGACCGAUAGUGAACCAGUACCGUGAGGGAAAGGUGAAAAGCACCCCGGAAGGGGAGUGAAAUAGAACCUGAAACCGUGUGCUUACAAGUAGUCAGAGCCCGUUAAUGGGUGAUGGCGUGCCUUUUGUAGAAUGAACCGGCGAGUUACGAUUUGAUGCAAGGUUAAGCAGUAAAUGUGGAGCCGUAGCGAAAGCGAGUCUGAAUAGGGCGUUUAGUAUUUGGUCGUAGACCCGAAACCAGGUGAUCUACCCUUGGUCAGGUUGAAGUUCAGGUAACACUGAAUGGAGGACCGAACCGACUUACGUUGAAAAGUGAGCGGAUGAACUGAGGGUAGCGGAGAAAUUUCAAUCGAACCUGGAGAUAGCUGGUUCUCUCCGAAAUAGCUUUAGGGCUAGCCUCAAGUGAUGAUUAUUGGAGGUAGAGCACUGUUUGGACGAGGGGCCCCUCUCGGGUUACCGAAUUCAGACAAACUCCGAAUGCCAAUUAAUUUAACUUGGGAGUCAGAACAUGGGUGAUAAGGUCCGUGUUCGAAAGGGAAACAGCCCAGACCACCAGCUAAGGUCCCAAAAUAUAUGUUAAGUGGAAAAGGAUGUGGCGUUGCCCAGACAACUAGGAUGUUGGCUUAGAAGCAGCCAUCAUUUAAAGAGUGCGUAAUAGCUCACUAGUCGAGUGACACUGCGCCGAAAAUGUACCGGGGCUAAACAUAUUACCGAAGCUGUGGAUUGUCCUUUGGACAAUGGUAGGAGAGCGUUCUAAGGGCGUUGAAGCAUGAUCGUAAGGACAUGUGGAGCGCUUAGAAGUGAGAAUGCCGGUGUGAGUAGCGAAAGACGGGUGAGAAUCCCGUCCACCGAUUGACUAAGGUUUCCAGAGGAAGGCUCGUCCGCUCUGGGUUAGUCGGGUCCUAAGCUGAGGCCGACAGGCGUAGGCGAUGGAUAACAGGUUGAUAUUCCUGUACCACCUAUAAUCGUUUUAAUCGAUGGGGGGACGCAGUAGGAUAGGCGAAGCGUGCGAUUGGAUUGCACGUCUAAGCAGUAAGGCUGAGUAUUAGGCAAAUCCGGUACUCGUUAAGGCUGAGCUGUGAUGGGGAGAAGACAUUGUGUCUUCGAGUCGUUGAUUUCACACUGCCGAGAAAAGCCUCUAGAUAGAAAAUAGGUGCCCGUACCGCAAACCGACACAGGUAGUCAAGAUGAGAAUUCUAAGGUGAGCGAGCGAACUCUCGUUAAGGAACUCGGCAAAAUGACCCCGUAACUUCGGGAGAAGGGGUGCUCUUUAGGGUUAACGCCCAGAAGAGCCGCAGUGAAUAGGCCCAAGCGACUGUUUAUCAAAAACACAGGUCUCUGCUAAACCGUAAGGUGAUGUAUAGGGGCUGACGCCUGCCCGGUGCUGGAAGGUUAAGAGGAGUGGUUAGCUUCUGCGAAGCUACGAAUCGAAGCCCCAGUAAACGGCGGCCGUAACUAUAACGGUCCUAAGGUAGCGAAAUUCCUUGUCGGGGAAGUUCCGACCCGCACGAAAGGCGUAACGAUUUGGGCACUGUCUCAACGAGAGACUCGGUGAAAUCAUAGUACCUGUGAAGAUGCAGGUUACCCGCGACAGGACGGAAAGACCCCGUGGAGCUUUACUGUAGCCUGAUAUUGAAAUUCGGCACAGCUUGUACAGGAUAGGUAGGAGCCUUUGAAACGUGAGCGCUAGCUUACGUGGAGGCGCUGGUGGGAUACUACCCUAGCUGUGUUGGCUUUCUAACCCGCACCACUUAUCGUGGUGGGAGACAGUGUCAGGCGGGCAGUUUGACUGGGGCGGUCGCCUCCUAAAAGGUAACGGAGGCGCUCAAAGGUUCCCUCAGAAUGGUUGGAAAUCAUUCAUAGAGUGUAAAGGCAUAAGGGAGCUUGACUGCGAGACCUACAAGUCGAGCAGGGUCGAAAGACGGACUUAGUGAUCCGGUGGUUCCGCAUGGAAGGGCCAUCGCUCAACGGAUAAAAGCUACCCCGGGGAUAACAGGCUUAUCUCCCCCAAGAGUUCACAUCGACGGGGAGGUUUGGCACCUCGAUGUCGGCUCAUCGCAUCCUGGGGCUGUAGUCGGUCCCAAGGGUUGGGCUGUUCGCCCAUUAAAGCGGUACGCGAGCUGGGUUCAGAACGUCGUGAGACAGUUCGGUCCCUAUCCGUCGUGGGCGUAGGAAAUUUGAGAGGAGCUGUCCUUAGUACGAGAGGACCGGGAUGGACAUACCUCUGGUGUACCAGUUGUCGUGCCAACGGCAUAGCUGGGUAGCUAUGUGUGGACGGGAUAAGUGCUGAAAGCAUCUAAGCAUGAAGCCCCCCUCAAGAUGAGAUUUCCCAACUUCGGUUAUAAGAUCCCUCAAAGAUGAUGAGGUUAAUAGGUUCGAGGUGGAAGCAUGGUGACAUGUGGAGCUGACGAAUACUAAUCGAUCGAAGACUUAAUCAA